RNAcentral lists this ribosomal RNA (197 nucleotides) under uncultured bacterium. RNAcentral describes it as "partial 16S ribosomal RNA". It matches the Rfam family "Bacterial small subunit ribosomal RNA", at positions 329 to 539 of the family's 1533-position model. The record is from RNAcentral.
ACGUCGACACCUACGGGAAGCAGCAGUGGGGAAUAUUGCACAAUGGGGGAAACCCUGAUGCAGCGACGCCGCGUGAGCGAAGAAGUAUUUCGGUAUGUAAAGCUCUAUCAGCAGGGAAGAAACUGACGGUACCUGACUAAGAAGCACCGGCUAAAUACGUGCCCGCAGCCGCGGUAAUCUGAGCGGGCUGGCAAGGC